Molecule: non-coding RNA, 83 nt
Organism: Cicer arietinum (chickpea)
Lineage: Eukaryota; Viridiplantae; Streptophyta; Magnoliopsida; Fabales; Fabaceae
Source: Rfam
GGCUCUGUGAUAUUCUGCCUUAGUUGCAGUAUACGCUAUUCUGAUUCAAAUUAUGAGCAGAAAUUUCAUUAUAAAUGAGAGCU